UGCAGUCGAGCGGUAGCACAGAGGAGCUUGCUCCUUGGGUGACGAGCGGCGGACGGGUGAGUAAUGUCUGGGAAACUGCCUGAUGGAGGGGGAUAACUACUGGAAACGGUAGCUAAUACCGCAUAACCUCGCAAGAGCAAAGAGGGGGACCUUAGGGCCUCUCGCCAUCAGAUGUGCCCAGAUGGGAUUAGCUAGUAGGUGAGGUAAUGGCUCACCUAGGCGACGAUCCCUAGCUGGUCUGAGAGGAUGACCAGCCACACUGGAACUGAGACACGGUCCAGACUCCUACGGGAGGCAGCAGUGGGGAAUAUUGCACAAUGGGCGCAAGCCUGAUGCAGCCAUGCCGCGUGUGUGAAGAAGGCCUUCGGGUUGUAAAGCACUUUCAGCGAGGAGGAAGGCGGUAAGGUUAAUAACCUUAUCGAUUGACGUUACUCGCAGAAGAAGCACCGGCUAACUCCGUGCCAGCAGCCGCGGUAAUACGGAGGGUGCAAGCGUUAAUCGGAAUGACUGGGCGUAAAGCGCACGCAGGCGGUCUGUUAAGUUGGAUGUGAAAUCCCCGGGCUUAACCUGGGAACUGCAUUCAAAACUGACAGGCUAGAGUCUUGUAGAGGGGGGUAGAAUUCCAGGUGUAGCGGUGAAAUGCGUAGAG
Molecule: ribosomal RNA, 649 nt
Filed under: Pectobacterium carotovorum subsp. carotovorum
Lineage: Bacteria; Pseudomonadati; Pseudomonadota; Gammaproteobacteria; Enterobacterales; Pectobacteriaceae
Description: bacterial SSU rRNA
Rfam family: Bacterial small subunit ribosomal RNA
Source: RNAcentral